RNAcentral lists this long non-coding RNA (22997 nucleotides) under Manihot esculenta (cassava). RNAcentral's name for it is "long non-coding RNA (MESC_LNC002139)". Lineage: Eukaryota; Viridiplantae; Streptophyta; Magnoliopsida; Malpighiales; Euphorbiaceae. The record is from RNAcentral.
UUUCCUCUCCCCCAUUUGUCCCUUCCCUCUCUACUUUGCUUUACUUUGUGGGUUUUCCUUUUGCUUAUAUUCAUUUGGUAAGACACAUUGAAGUUUGGUUUUACUAAGGUGAUAGAUCACUUGUCAACAUUUGUUGUGAAACUGGUAUACAUUUUAUUUAUAAUGAAUAAGGUCUUGAAGGUGUGAAUGAACUUCGAAACUUAAUGAGCCAAGUCGUUGAAUGGAGCAUCAGUUUGUUGUAUGAAAGAGUUCAACUUCUUGAUUGCCCAUGAUGAUUGGCUCUGAUACGAAGUUGUUAUGUGCCCUUGAAUAGGAUCUUGUCACAAGUCGAUUAAUUGGAAAAUUCUCCACUCGCCAGACUGAUCUUCCCUUAUUUAUGUUUCUACUGUUUUUUGAGGAGCCUAUUGUAAAAUAAAUAAUUUGAGAACUCAUUUGAGAGAAUUCUCAUUUCUCAUAAACUGAUGAAUAAUAUUUUCUGAAUGUUUUAUUCAAUGAUCUCAAGUGCUUUUUUAUAGUGAAGGCUAGCAACUAAAAAAUCAAAUUAGAGAUAGCAAGCUGAAUUCUGAUCUUAUGUGUUGCAACCACUUUGAUAAGAAUCUAUCAAAUAGAGGGAUAAUGCAUAUCCAUAACAAAUUUACAAUGCAAUAUAAAUGAGAUAGCAUAGAGUUCAUACUUUUCUAGAGAUUAGUUGGUCUAUCAUUCCCAUUAUCUAUGUUGUGUAUUUUUUUUGUGGCAAGUGUUCUGUAAGGUGUAAUAAAUUUAUUCCUAUUCCAUCAUAUGAUUUAUAUUUUAGAUAUUAUGCCUUUUUAAAGGCGAAUUUUACUGUCCUCGGUAUAGGGGCAAUUUAUGUAUUCAGUUGAUCAAAAUCUAACCAUUGCUAUUCUAAUGAUUAAUGUUGUGGCCUAGGGAACCCCGCCAACCUUGGCUUGGAAUGGAAGUUACUAACCUUUAUGCAGCUGAUGUGGAUAUUUUAGAGAAGAUCGUUCAAAAGUUCCCUAACGUAUUUAAGGGGGUCAUUGUUGAAGAGGUAUCGUCUUGUUUCAUGCAACUUGUUUCUAUAAGGUUGUGCAACUUGUUUCUAAAGGAUCAUAGUACUUUGGCUAAUACCGUUAUCCUCAGUCAUAGUUGUAUAAAGUUCGAGGGACAUGAGGGCGUUGGGGUACCUUAGGCUUAGGUUCAAGGGACCUUUCAGGAUUGAGGCACAUGUUUAUAUAAAAUUUGCAUAAAAGAAUAGUUAAUUUUCAUUCUAUGCAUAAGCAGCAAAUAUUGAAUCCAAGGCUGAUAAAAAAAGAUCAUCAAUGAUUCCUUUAGAUAUAGUGACAUUAACAAUUUCUAGCUUCUUGCUGGUCAAAAGAAAAAGAAAAAUUCUCUAUCUUCAUCCUUCAAGCUCUAUCAGCGCACCAUAGUUAAUUUAACACUAAAAGAAGAUUACUACUGUAUUGGGCUUAUUUGUUUUGCAAAAAACAUAUAUGAGAAAACAUUUUUUGAUAAAAGCAUUUUGAGAAAAUAACUUAUUUUCCAUUGUUUGGUUGCAAUCCUUGAAUUAGUUGGAUUUUUUCAACUUUUGGAAUGUGCCCAACUAUAAGAUUAUUUAAACCUCUUAGAACCUCAUUGUUUUCUGUGUAAUAUUAAAGUAUGGGACAAAGACAAAAAGAAAAGGAUAAAUUAUGGUAGUCAAUGGUAGUUAGUUGAUCAACUGAUAUGUAUUUACAUGGCUAUUUUUAAUGUUAUAGGUUACUUUUCUUUUAGGCCUUGUUUGGUACAAAUGUGUCUUGUUUGGUCCAAAUCUGUCACUUCCUGAGAAGUCACUUCCCAGGACCUAACUUAAUUAGGUUGGGGUAGUUCCCAGGACCUAACUUAAUUAGGUUGGGGUAGUUCCCAGGACCUAACUUAACUAGGUUGGGGUAGGUAAGUUAUUUCCCCCCACCAAGGGAGGAAAAAAACUUUUCAUUAACUGCAAUACGAAAAGUGGAAAUAGUGAUGGGAAAAAACUAGUUGGAUAAAUAAGAAGUGGAAACUUCACGGAGGUUGAGUAGUCAAAGGCCUCUCUCUCCCAUAGCCAAUACAUUCUUUUUGCAAGUUUUUGAUUUAGGAAUGGUCAUAUUGACCUAUCAAUUGAGACUUCAUUAUUAUAUCUUUUCUCUGUAAUGUUCCUCCACUGCGCCCUUGGAUGUUGCCUCAUCAAUACUUUUUUUUUACUUUACAUUAAGCAUAGAAUUGUGAAAAUCAGUUCACGUGCAUGUAAAGUGUUAAAAGUUCAGCUUGCCUUCCCAACAUUGUUGAAUUUAACAUAUGUCAUAAUUACCUAGGCAACUACUAGAAGAGUUUUUCAAUUUCAUUAUUUUGUUGUGCAUGGUGAAAACGGGGACAUAGACGAUGACAUUAUUGAGUGUCAUAUGAUUCAUAGCCUUCUCAAAUUGAAUCUAACUGAAGCAAAAGUUCUUCAGUAUUUUGUCUUACCUUGAUGCACUCUGUGACCACAAUAGUGUUUUAAUUUCAUCUAUAUAUAUAGUUUAGUAAGUGGAAGUUCUAGCAUAUGAUUUACUUAUUUGUAGUUUCUGGUUACCAUCCUAAAUGAAGUUUGACAAAUAUAUUUGUGUAUUAGUAUUCCCUCUUGAAUCUAGCUAACUAAUUGCUUAUUGUUUUGAUUGUUAUUUUAACCUAUUAAUGAUUCUUUUCAAGUACUUGAUUUGUGGAUAAAGUAUAAAGCAUAGUUCAAACUUUUCCAAUGAAUAUUAAAUCAGUGUGUUUACUAUGUGCUUAUCUUUCCUAAUUAAUUUAUUCUUUCUAAUUGGAUAUUGGAUUAUUCUACCUAUUAACCGUGAAUAGGUUAUGGCGGGCUCAUCUGCUGAUUCUGCUGGGAUAAGUCCCAAUGAUGUUAUAGUUCAAUUUGGAGGAAAAACGGGCUUUUUGCAAAUUUAGGGGCGGGAGAAGUUUUAUUUGCGGAUUUAGGAUUCGGAAAAUAUUAAUUGUCAAUUUGGGGCGUGGCAGGCGGAAAGAGCGCCUGGCGCCUCUUUGAAAGGUGCCUGGCGCCUCUUUGAAAGGUGCCUGGCGCCUCUUUGAAAGGUGCCUGGCGCCUCUUUGAAAGGUGCCUGGCGCCUCUUUGAAAGGUGCCAGGCCCUGGCGCUUCUCAAAGAAGCGCCAGAUGAAGUUUUGGCGCCAAGCGUGGCCUGACGGCCCUGACGCCUCUUUGAGAGAUGCCAAGCGUGGGCAGAAGGCCCUGGCGUCUCUCAAAGAAGCGCCAGAGCAAGUCCUGGCGGCCCUAGCGCCUCUCAAAUAAGCGUCAUGGCAAGUCCUUGUCCCCAACCCAUAUGAAACCCUCGAAAAUAUAUUAUUAUUAAUAAUAUAUUUAUAAAUUAAAAAUAUUAUAUAUUAUUAUUUUAAUAUAUUAUAAAUAAUAAUUUCAUAUUAUGGAAUUUGUAUAUAUUAAAACUAAAACUAUAAUAAAUGUACAAACUUUUAUUAAUGUUUAAAUAAAAUUAAUAAUUUAUAAUGAAAAAAAAAUGAAUUUAGUAAUGAUAUAACUAAAUUUAAUUUAAAAAAUAAGAAUAAAAUUAAUAACAAUUAAAUUUAAUUAUACAAAAAUUCACAUUAAUAUUCUCCAUAAUGUCUAACGAUGACCAUAUUAAUGACCGCCCGUGCCACAAUGUCGUGGUCUCCUCUCAUCAGAACGUCUUGUGUUGUACCGACGCCCGUCAAAUGAUGGCUCCUGUUGAGCCUCUUGAGAAUUUCCAACAUCAUCGUCAGCCAUAGAUAUAUUUAAAUCAGGAGGUUGAGAUCGAGGUCUUGAACUCUCCCCAACAACUAGAUCCUGAGUUGCAAAGCUGAAAUCUCCUGAAUAAGGGGUUGCAGAAAAUAACUCAAGAAAAUCCGAAGAAAACAAGCUAAGUCGGCUUGAGGGAUCAUCCAGUGAUUGUCGAGGGAAUGCUGGAAAAACAGACUGUCGAGGGAAUGCUGGAAAAACAGACUCUGAUGGAGUAUGUGGUUGCGCAGGGGAGAAGAAGUCGAACGACGUGCUAGCUAUGCCUUCCUCUGCAGUCUGAUCGUAAUUGGAAGGAGUUGGAGUAAAUGAAUGAAAAGGCAUAGAAGAAGGCCCUGGUGUCCAUCCUAUAUACUGACUCUUAAAAUCGUCUCCAUAAGUGGGCAUUUGUGAAGAUUGGCCCAAUUCUGUAUAUGAGCCGUAUGGAUGGAAUGCAACCGGUGAUGGUAUUUGCAUUACACCAGGGUUUGGCGUAGGCCGUGGAAUCUCCGUCUCCCUUGAUGGCCUGGUAGUGUGGCGACGAUAUCGUGGAGGAUUCCUGGAGGAGGAGGGUGUGUCAUGUACAUCAUCUGGAAGCGGUUGGGAAGGUGGCGUCGGCUGUUUAGGUGGUAUUUGGGAAAUGCGAUCGAACAAACGAAGUGCAUGAAACAUUGAAUUAACCGCAUUUCCAAUCUUGUCUACUGUUGGGUGACGAACUUGACUCGCCCAUAAGCGGCAGUUUUCCAGAUCAUCCUCUUGCAAAAUGUAUUUAUUAAGAUAUCUAUCCCAAAAGUUAAGUAAUAUAAAUAUUUAUAUAAUUAAUACAUAAAUCAUAAUGAUUCACCCAUUAUCACAGCGCCGAUUGAUGCACCCUUUUGAGACACCCACCGAUGUGCAAUUAUUCUGUACCAUUCCAUAUACUGUGAAUGGUAAUGUAACGGCUGGAUCAUAGUAUUGCUUGCGACAAUCCAUCGGUGCCUUGAUUUCCAGAGCGUAAUUCAAUGUUGGUUCUCGGUCAUCCAGUUGAUAGCUGAAGAAGUUAAUUUUAUUGAAUGCAUAUUAUCUGUUUGACGUGGUGGUUGUGGAAUGGGUUGAGAAAAUCCAAAUUGUUUCAGCACCCUGUUAGGUUGAUGCCACUCAACAAUAUGAAAACAAAUCAGUGGAACAACUGAUCUCCAUAUUUGUCUACCCUGUAGACAGUAAUCUGGCAUAGCGUCCACCACAACAUCAGAGUAUGGCUCCCAUAUAAACUAUGUAGAUAAGAUAAUGUAAAAGGUUAAAAUUGGAUAAUUUGAAUUGACAUGUAAUUAAAAGGUAUAGAAUGAUGACCUCUUCGGCUUUCAUGCGGUCAAGUUGGUACCGAAGUUGCACUAGCACAUGCGUUGUAACUUCGGUAAUACUUCUAGCAUUACUCCACCUACACAAUUUAUAGUUUGGAAUUAGUAACAAGAUGUUGGAUUUGAUGGUAUAAUAGUACACAAUUUACAGCACAUACCGACUACUAAUCGGUGUAUCUGGAAGGGGAUGUAUCUGGGAGAUGGUAAGGGCAAUUAUUUUUAUUCUGUCCCAUGCCCAAAUCUGUAAAAUAUGCAGUGGCCCGCCAAUUUGCUGCACUUGUGGUGAUGUUGCUCUGCAAAGCUCUUUAUAAAGCCAAGCAAGGCAGGCUGCACCCCAGCUAUAUUGACCACAGGUGUUGAAAUUAGCGAGUAGUGGCAAAAACAUUAGAUUGACCCUAUGAGCAGACCGAUCAACAAACAGCGAUCCACCUAUUAGCCGUAAUAGGAAAGCUCGAGCAUGCCUCUGAAUAGUAACAUCAUCAUCGUACUCUGGAAUUUGGUCAAAGUUAUUUCUCAACCAGGUGAGUGCAACAGUAUUUCCCUUCACAACUUCACGAUUCGGGACCAACCCAAGAAAUCUUGACAUAGCAAUUGCCAAGGCUGUCCUGUAGUCCCAGUAACAGCAUUGCCAUCAAUAGGCAAUCCAGAUAUUUGUCCCAUAUCUUGAAGUGUAACAGUACACUCUUCAUGGGGUAACAUAAAAGUAUGUGUUUCUGGUUUCCAUCUCUCAACCAAAGCCGUUAUGAGGUGGUGAUUUAAGUGGAAGAAGCCUAAUCGAACAGCUCCGUAAAAUCCACUAGCACAGAGAUAAGGGAUAAGCCUGUCAUCAAUAUCAUGACCGUGUAAUACGGUAGAGGAUCGUCAGCAUGUGAUUACACCAGCCUCUUGUGGAUCAUCCCACACGGCUUGGGACCUAUGAGAUGCUUGGAGAUAUAGCAAUGAAGUAUCACGUGGUUCUGGGUUGAUGAAUAAUCUACUGUCAUUUGAGCACUCUUCCUGCAAAGGGUUAUUACAACUAUCAAUUCCUUAUGUCAAUAAUUUUAAUUGUUAGACAUGAGGAUAACAUAACAGAAAUAAAAGAAAAAUGUGAAUUUACAAGGCAAUUCUUUGUUUUGGUACAAGUGAUAAUGACAUAAACCUUACCUCCUAAACCUUACCUCUUAAACCCUAACAUAUUACAUAAUACGAUAAAUGCAUGUAGACAUUUCAACAGCAUUUUGGUAGACAAUGUGGCAAAUAUUUUGUAAAAUCGCCACAAUCAUUGUCACUAUAAUCAGACAGGUCAUUAUUGUGUAUGUUGAAAUUGCUGGAAUAUGAUAACUGACUAUCAUCGUAUACACUUGGAAAUUCACAUUGUUCAGCAUGAUAUUUAUCCAGCCUCAUUUCCAUAAGCCUAAUUUCCUUAAGUAGUUGAUCCUUGAGUUUCUUAACAUCUUUACAUGUAUUUUGCAAGCCAUGUCUGUCGAUGUAGCUUUUGGAAUAGGCAACUCAUGGUAGCCACAAUAAGCUUCUAAUUCGCAUCGAAUCUCCCACAAACGUUGCCAAUCAGGUUGAAGAGCAAUUGCCACAUUUCCAAAAUUAGAAAUUUUUGUGGAAUGAUAUCCGACAAAUAUAUGGUUAGCAAAACCUUGUUUCAAACAACUAUUAGUUUGUUGAUUUGAAAAACAUUGCUUGUGACCAUACCAUGAACAACUGUUUGGAUCUAUAUAUUUGUCUAUUAAGUGUUAUGACUAUUAUAUUUUCUCUUUCCUCUGCUUGAUUGGCAUGCUGACGACUCACAAAGAUCUUUGGAGGAUGACAUUUUCUGGAUGUAACAUGCGUAUGAUCAAAUGGUUAAAUGUCAUAAACAAUCAAGGAAUCAUAACAAAUUACAGAUAUUUGCAGAAAAUAGGCCAUGUGAAAAUCAUAAAAUUUUAUUCACAGUACAUGUGUUUUUAUUAUGUCCUGAUUGGCCACAUAUAGAACAGUGAUUUUUUCCGGGAAUAUUAACUUUUGCAACCCUCCAAUCCAUUUCAUUCUGGAUCCUCGAUGGCUUUGGUCGCCCUUUUUUCCUAAUUCGGUUCUUGUUUGGAAUUAGAGGUAAUUUCUAAUCUGCAGGCCAAUAGUCUAAAUUACCUAAUGGAAUGAACAUGUCUUCGUAACAUUUAAAUGACCUUUCGAGAGUGUAGUAGCUAUCAACGAAUUGCUCAUAAUCAACAGACCUCGACAUGCAUGCUGCUAUGGCAUGUGAACAUGGGAUACGCAUUUCUUGAAAUUUAUCGCAACUACAGGUCCCUUCUAUAAGCUUAACAACUUGUUUUUGACCUGUUUUUGCACUUCGGACUUCGACAACCAAAUCAUCACGAUUAAAUGUAGCAACACGAUGGCCAUUUGCUGACUGUGCAUUUUUUUGUAUGACUUCACCAAUUGACUGGGUGAAUCUAUAGCCAUCUUGUUGCUGCCAAAGAAAUUGACUCCUUCGAAUAUCGAAGUAAUGCGCACAUUGAUAAAAUAUUUUUUCAACCAUUGCUGUAAUAGGCAAAGCUCGAAAGCCUUUCAACAUUCCAUUGACAGACUCAAUGGUGUUAGUCGUCAUUGAUCCAUAUCGCUUCCCACCAUCGUGGGAACGAGUCCACUUCUCCAAAGGAAUCUUCACGGCCCAUUCAAAGGUCUCGAGAUUUACUUUCUUAAUUUUAUUCAUCGCGUCAUAGAAUUUCCUCCUCUGGUUAUGAUUAGUUGUUACGGUAAAAAUAUAUUAUUGAAUAUGAAUAGGUUAUAUACAAUAAAAAUUUAAAUUUAAAAUAAGUAAUCGCAAAUAAUGUUUUACCAGUCUUUCGCAAACAUUCCUUCAUUGUUGCAUUCUUGAAUUUUGUGUUGUAAUUGCUCAAAAUGUGUCGUAUGCAGUAUCGAUGAUGUCCACUUGGUGAUUGCCACCAAUCCUGUUCCAUAGAUUUCUUAAUUUCAAUGUGACGAUCAGAAAUGACACAUAAAUCUUCGCGUUCUGUGACAUAAGCUCUCAAACAAGACAUGAACCAUCCCCAAUUAUCUGAAUCCUCCUCCACAAUUGCAAAAGCCAAUGGAAAUAUCUGAUUAUUUUCAUCAAGCCCUGUUGCACACAAUAUACACCCACUAUAUUUAACGUAUAGGAAUGUACCGUCAAAUAAAAUUACUGGUCGACAAUGCUUGAAUCUUUCAAUAGAUUGACGAUAAGCCCAAAACAUGUGAUCAAAUACACGAGAAGUACGAUCCAAACGAUCGUUUAUGUAAUGGGGAUCAUCUUUAAUUACGAAGAUUGAACCAGGAUUGAAGUGGCACACUGCAUUUAUGUACUUAUGGAGCCUUCCAUACGAUUCAUCCCAUCCACCAAAAAUUUUCCUAAUUGCAAAUUGUUUUGCCUUCCAUGUCUUUGAAUAUGUUGGUUCAUAUCCAAUUUUAUCUCUAACUUUUGCCUGAAGUGUUUUUAUUUUAAUGUGUGGUUGUUCUUCUAUCAUAGGCAAAAUAAAUUGACAUAUAAAUUUAUUAUCCAAUUGAGGAUGGUCUUUUUCAACUAUUGGAUUAGAACAUGUAUGCGGCCAUCAUACGAUACAAUUCUCCAAACCUCAGAUUCCUCCUUCUUUGAUGCACGCAGAUGCCAUUUACAGUUAUGUUUUUUAUAUUUGCAUUUAAUACUAUAUGUUUUCGUCUUGGUCUCAUCAGAGCAAAACUUAUGAUGUCUACGCAAAUGAUACUCCUUUGCUGCUGCUAUGAUAGCAUCUCUGUUCGGAAAAAUCAUCCCAACGGAAAACUCUUUAUUCGGAUUCCAAAACAUAUCAGUCGGUGGCUUUGCGUAAGGGUCUACACGCAUUAAUUCAAAAUCUAUUUUUGAAAAUGGGGGUGGAUGCACAAAUUGCAAAAUAGGAUUAGUAUACUGAGGAACAACAUUAUCAUCAGCUGAUAAUAAUUCUUCGUCCUCAAUCCAACCACUUUCAUACUCGUUAAUGUCAGAAUCAGAUAACCUCUUUGAAUCAACAUAUUCAUCAUCUUCAUCAACAACUUCAUUGACAAUAUUAUCAACACUAUUCAGGUUAAAGUCUUUAGUACAAAAUGGAUUUGUUGGACAUACUAUAAUUUCAUCUUGCUCUUCAAUAUUCGGACGCAAAAUACAAUGUGAAUUCUCUAAAUCAUCAAUAUAAGAGGGACCGGCACAAUCAUCUUUCUGAUUUCUGUGAAUAUCUCUAACGACAUCGACAUAAAAAAUUAUGCUUUCAGAUCCUAGUAUACAUACGUAAUCGAACAUCAUCUCUACAUCGUCAUCAUUGAGCAGCUGAACUAGUUCAAAUUUGUAAUCGUUAUCACUAAUAAUUGGUUUCCUAUAUUCAAUCUUGCAUAUGAAUUGAUUAUGGUCUAACAAAUUUGUAGAGCGAACUAUUUUCAUAAGAAGAUCCUCAUAAGUCAAUCUUCGGUUCAUACGGAAGAAAUUGUGCUGACCUCCAACAUAGGCGUAACCUAAUUCGGUUCUAAUAACAUGUCCAUCCCAGUGUACAAUGCCAUAAGUCGGACAACUCAUUUUUGUCAAAUUUAGUCCACAUUUCAAGCAUAACAAAUAUAGAAUAAGUAUUUAAUUAACGUUAAAAUUUAAGUGCAAUAUAAUUAUGCAUAUCUGUUUGUUGUAAUCAAUGCGAUCUAAUAGCCUUGGUUUGAAGAUUGUCUAUCAAACUGCAAUAUAAAUUUUAAUUUUAUGUUUAGCACCAAAUACAUAAUAUCGUUAAAAUAAAUAUUAUUAAAAUAAAUACAUUAUAUCAUAAAAAUUAUCAAAUAAUAAGAAUUAUAUUACACCACAUAAAUUGUUAAAUAAAUAUAUUAAAUAAUGUAACUAAUCUUCACAAAUUAUUUAAAAUUGAAAGGAGGGUGUAUUGAGAUUAGGAAUAGAAAUUGUAAGGGAAGUUGAGUAGAGUGGAGGAGAGUAAGAGUUGGAAAAUGAGGUGAGUAAGGGUGGGGCGGGGAUAUUUAUAAAUAGAAACUUGGCGCCGCUUUAAAUGGCGUCAGGCUUAUCGAAGACUGCAUCUUGGCGCCACUAGCGCCAGGUUCAGGUCUUCCACCAGUCCCGAGGCGCGUCCGGAAGACGCAUCGAAACUUAACCAGCUUGGGACCAUUCAAAAUAGCGCCAGGUUCAGGUCUUCCACCCGUCCCGAGGUGCCGCGCGACCCGUGACUGAUACUCCUGUCCUUGGCGCCACUUAAAGUGGCGCCAGGACUUGGGUGGGAGAGAUUCUAUGCCAUGAAGAGAAGAGACCAUAAUGGCACCUCUUCAUGGUAGAGAUACUUUGCAUGAAUAAAGCAUAGCGCCUCUUUAAGUGGCGCCAGGUCCUCUACAACAUCCAUAUUUUAUUUUGCUACUUUUAACUUACCUUUUUUCUUUCUUAAAUAUAUUUUUUUUAAAUUUAUUGAUGUUGUAUUUUUUAUAAUUAUAAUAUUUCAAAUAAAAAUUUCUAGAUGACUAAAAAUUUAGUUAUAUCGCAAUGUGGCUUAUAAAAUGAAUAGAACACUCAACUUUUUUUUUUCUCCAUAUUUAUCAAUAUAACAAAUAUAAUUUAAUAGAAUGACGUUCUUUUAUUAAAAAUUUAAUAUUUUACAUUUGUAAAUUAAAUUGUAAUUUUCAAUAUACUUUAAAUUGUUUAUGCAUUUAUAAUUAAUUACAAUUAAAUUAACUAUAUUUUUUUAUUUUAAAUUUUAUAAUUUAAGAUCAAUUACCUACAUAUUAUAUUUUAUACGUUUUAAUCUAAACCCAAUUUUUAAAUAAUUAUUAAUUAAAAUUUUUACUAAUAAAUUUACAAUAAAAAUAUUAAUAUUAAAUAUAUGUAACACAACAAAAUAGACAUUUAUAAAAAAAACGAUAUUACAAAUUUAAAAUACUAACUAAUUACAUAGAUUUUAAUAUAUCUAUUUAUUUUUACAUUUUCCGAAUUUGCGCCCUUCGCUUGAACGUUUUGCGGAUUUAAAUGUUCUUCCCAUUCUUUGUUCCAAAUAAUCAUACAUAUUCGCUUGAUAACUGGUACGUUAACCUCCUCCUGAAAUUAAUAAGUCAGUAAGUAUAUUGAUUAAAAUAUGCAUUAAAAUUAAAUAUUAAGCUUAACUAAAUACGUACCUCUUAAUAUUCUAUUCUCUCUUUUACAAAAUUCUUUUUGCGAAAUAGAAAGACUGUAUUGGAGACGCAUGUAAGGUGCAUAAUCCAAUUUUUCAUAAAUACGAAAAUAAUAAUUGACUAUAUCAGAAUAAUUUUCUAUUUUGGCUUUUGAGCAAAUAAAACUUAAAAUCUUAAAAUAAUACAACGGAACAGUUUCAAUCAAAACAUCAACCAUUUCUAUAUUCCGCAUGUUAUAACUAGAACAAAUUGUUUCUUGCAAAUAAUAAUUAAGCCAUAAAAUAUGUUGGAAAAAAUUGCUCUGAGAAUCUAUUUUUAAUUUAUAUAUUUCUUUCCACAUUCUUUUCACUCUAUUUUUAGCAAAUUUAUCUCGUAAAAUUUUUGGAACAACAUAAAUAUAAGCCAUAAAUCAAUUAAAACAGAAAGAGGAAGAUGAUAAAGAAGUUAAAAAAAAAUUCAACAGGAAAGAAAUAAGUAAAAGCAGAGAUGAAAACAAGCGUAGCAGAGGUGAAAAUAAGCAGAGAUGAAAACGAGCGUAGCAGAUGGGGCAUUUAUAGGGUGAAGGUGGCGCCUCUUUAAGAGGCGUCAGGAUGGGUUGGCGCUUCUUUAAGAGGCGCCAGGGCGAUGCGUUUUUCGGGCUUUUUGCAAAUUUAAGGGCGGGAGAAGUUUUAUUUGCGGAUUUGGGGUUCGAAAAAUAUUAAUUGCCAAUUUGGGGUUCGUGGCAGGCGAAAAGAGCGCCUGGCGCCUCUUUAAAAAGCACCAGGCUCUGGCGCUUCUCAAAGAAGCGCCAGAUGAAGUCUUGGCACCUAUCAAAGAGGCGCCAAGCGUGGCCUGACGGUUCGCAGAUAGGUCGGUGCUUCUUAAAGAGGCGCCAGCCUCACCCUGGCGCCUCGGGAAGCCUGACAUCUCGAAAAAACGCAUCGCCACGCCUCUUAAAGAGGCGCCACCUUCACCCUAUAAAUGCCCCAUCUGCUACGCUCGUUUUCAUCUCUGCUUGUUUUCACCUCUGCUACGCUUGUUUUCAUCUCUGAAUUUUUUUUUAACUUCUUUAUCCUCUUCCUCUUUCUGUUUUAAUUGAUUUAUGGCUUAUAUUUAUGUUGUUCCAAAAAUUUUAUGAGGUAAAUUUGUUAAAAAUAGAGUGAAAAGAAUGUGGAAAGAAAUAUAUAAAUUAAGAAUAGAUUCUCGGAGCAAUUUUUUCCAACAUAUUUUGUGGCUUAAUUAUUAUUUGCAAGAAAUAAUUUGUUCCGGUUAUAACAUGCGGAAUAUAGAAAUGGUUGAUAUUUUGAUUGAAACUGUUCCGUUGUAUUAUUUUAAGAUUUUAAGUUUUAUUUGCUCAAAACCCGAAAUAGAAAAUUAUUUUGAUAUAGUCGAUUAUUAUUUUUGUAUUUAUGAAAAAUUGGAUUAUGCAUCUUGGAUGCGUCUCUAAUACAGUCUUCCUAUUUCGCAAAAAGAAUUCUGUAAAAGAGAGAAUAGAAGAUUAAGAGGUACGUAUUUAGUUAAGCUUAAUAUUUAAUUUUGAUGUAUAUUUUAAUCAAUAUACUUACUGACUUAUUAAUUUCAGGAGGAGGUUAAUGUACUAGUUAUCAAGCGAAUAUGUAUGAUUAUUUGGAACAAAGAAUGGGAAGAACAUUUAAAUCCGCAAAACGUUCAAGCAAAGGGCGCAAAUUCGGAAAAUGUAAAAAUAAAUAGAUAUAUUAAAAUCUAUGUAAUUAGUUAGUAUUUUAAAUUUGUAAUAUCGUUUUUUUUAUAAAUGUCUAUUUUGUUGUGUUACAUAUAUUUAAUAUUAAUAUUUUUAUUGUAAAUUUAUUAGUAAAAAUUUUAAUUAAUAAUUAUUUAAAAAUUGGGUUUAGAUUAAAACGUAUAAAAUAUAAUAUGUAGGUAAUUGAUCUUAAAUUAUAAGAUUUAAAAUAAAAAAAUAUAGUUAAUUUAAUUGUAAUUAAUUGUAAAUGCAUAAAAAAUUUAAAGUAUAUUAAAAAUUACAAUUUAAUUUACAAAUGUAAAAUAUUAAAUUUUUAAUAAAAGAACGUUAUUCUAUUAAAUUAUAUUUGUUAUAUUGAUAAAUAUGGAGAAAAAAAAAGUUGAGUGUUCUAUUAAUUUUAUAAGCCACAUUGCGAUAUAACUAAAUUUUUAGUCAUCUAGAAAUUUUUAUUUGAAAUAUUAUAAUUAUAAAAAAUACAUCAAUAAAUUUUAAAAAAUAUAUUUCAGAAAGAAAAAAAGGGUAAGUUAAAAGUAGCAAAAUAAAAUAUGGAUGUAGUAGAGGACCUGGCGCCACUUAAAGAGGCGCUAUGCUUUAUUCAUGGAAGAGUAUCUCUGCCAUGAAGAGGCGCCACUUAUAAUGGCGCCAUGGUCUCUUCUCUUCAUGGCAGAGAAUCUCUGCCAUGAAGAGAUUUAAAUUUCUUUUUUACAUACUACUUCCACUAUUUAAUAACUAAUUAAUAUGGUUGGUCCCAUAUUUUUCAAAAGUUGAAUAUAUUUUUUGACCAAUAAAAAUUGAAAGCUAGUCUUAUAGUAGCUCCAAAACCUACUGGGAUAGCAAUCACCAAACAGAACAGUGAUAUCAUUGGUCUACUUAUUCCAGCUAAGCACAGACAAUUGAAAAAUCGGAGGAUUUUUUUUUUGCCAUUAGACGGUAAGGGAAGUCGAUUGUAAGAUCAUUAAUUUUUUUAAAAACGUAGUGUCGGCUAAGGGAAGUAUUGGCACUAUGGAAUGUUGUGUGGGAAGAGACGUGUCACAAACAGCAAUUGAAGUCAUCAACUUCACCAUCGUACUUCUCUUCAUGGCAGAGAUUCUCUGCCACCCAAGUCCUGGCGCCACUUAAAGGUGUAUCUGUCGCGUGGCGCCUCGGGACUAGUGGAAGACCUGAACCUGGCGCUGUUUUGAAUGGCACCAGGCUGGUUAAGUCCCGAUGCGUCUUCUAGACGCGCCCCGGAACUGGUGGAAGACCUGAACCCGGCGCUGUUUUGAAUGGUGCCAGGCUGGUUAAGUCCCGAGGCGUCUUCCGGUCUGGGAGACACCUCGGUACUGCUACAAGACCGCAUUCUGGCGCCACUUAAAGUGGAGCCAGGAUGCGGUCUUCGAUAAGCCUGGCGCCAUUUAAAGCGGCGCCAGGUUUCUAUUUAUAAAUAUCCCCGCCCCGCCCCGCUCCACCCUUACUCACCUCACUUUCCAACUCUUACUCAACUCUUACUCUCCUCCACUCUACUCAACUUCCCUUACAAUUUCUAUUCCUAAUCUCAAUACACCCUCCUUUCAAUUUUAAAGAAUCUGUGAAGGUUAGUUACAUUAUUUAAUAUAUUUAUUUAACAAUUUAUGUGGUGUAAUAUAAUUCUUAUUAUUUGAUAAUUUUUAUGAUAUAAUGUAUUUAUUUUAAUAAUAUUUAUUUUAACGAUAUUAUGUAUUUGGUGCUAAACAUAAAAUUAAAAUUUAUAUUGCAAUUUGAUAGAUAAUCUUCAAACCAAGGCUAUUAGAUCGCAUUGAUUACAACAAACAGGUAUGCGUAAUUAUAUUAUACUUAAAUUUUAACGUUAAUUAAAUACUUAUUCUAUAUUUGUUAUGUUUGAAAUGUGGACUAGAUUUGACAAAAAUGAGCUGUCCGACUUAUGGCAUUGUACACUGGGAUGGACAUGUUAUUAGAACCAAAUUAGGUUACGACUAUGUUGGUGGUCAGCACAAUUUCUUCCGUAUGAAACGAAGGUUGACUUAUGAGGAUCUUCUUUUGAAAAUAGUUCGCUCUACAAAUUUGUCAGACCAUAAUCAAUUCAUAUGCAAGAUUGAAUAUGGGAAACCAAUUAUUAGUGAUAACGAUUACAAAUUUGAACUAGUUCAGCUGCUCAAUGAUGAUGAUGUAGAGAUGAUGUUCGAUUACGUAUGUUUAUGAGGAUCUGAAAGCAUAAUUUUUUAUAUCGAUGUCGUUAGAGAUAUUCACAGAAAUCAGAAAGAUGAUUGUGCUGGUCCCUCUUAUAUUGAUGAUUUACAGAAUUCACACUGUAUUUUGUGUCUGAAUAUUGAAGAGCAAGAUGAAAUUAUAGUAUGUCCAACUAAUCCAUUUUGUACUGAAGACUUUAACCUGAAUAGUGUUGAUAAUAUUGUCAAUGAAGUUGUUGAUGAAGAUGAUGAAUAUGUUGAUUUAGAGAGGUUAUCUGAUUCUGACAUUAACGAGUAUGAAAGUGAUUGGAUUGAGGACGACGAAUUAUUAUCAGCUGAUGAUAAUGUUGUUCCUCAGUAUACUAAUCCUAUUUUGCCACUUGUGCAUCCACCCCCAUUUUCAGAAAUAGAUUUUGAAUUAAUGCGUGUAGACCUUUACGCAAAGCCACCGACUGGUAUGUUUUGGAAUCCGAAUAAAGAGUUUUCCGUUGGGAUGAUUUUUCUGAAUAAAGAUGUUGUCAUAGUAGCAGCAAAGGAGUAUCAUUUGCGUAGACAUCAUAAGUUUUGCUCUGAUGAGACCAAGAAAAAAACAUAUAGUAUUAAAUGCAAAUAUAAAAAACAUAACUGUAAAUGACAUCUGCGUGUAUCAAUGAAGGAGGGAUAUGAGGUUUGGAGAAUUGUAUCGUAUGAUGGGCUGCAUACAUGUUCUAAUCCAAUGGUUGAAAAAGACCAUCCUCAAUUGGAUAAUAAAUUUAUGUCAAUUUAUUUUGCCUAUGAUAGAAGAACAGCCACAUAUUAAAAUAAAAAUACUUCAGACAGAAGUUAGAGAUAAAAUUGGAUAUGAACCAACAUAUUCAAAGACAUGGAAGGCAAAACAAUUUGCAAUUAGGAAAAUUUUUGGUGGAUGGGAUGAAUCGUAUGGAAGGCUCCGUAAGUACAUGAAUGCUGUGUGCCACUUCAAUCCUGGUUCAAUCUUCGUAAUUGAAGAUGAUCCCCAUUACAUAAACGAUUGUUUGGAUCGUACUUCUCGUGUAUUUGAUCGCAUGUUUUUGGCUUAUCGUCAAUCUAUUGAAGGAUUCAAGUAUUGUCGAUCAGUAAUUUUUGUUGACAGUACAUUCCUAUACGGUAAAUAUAGUGGGUGUAUAUUGUGUGCAACAGGGCUUGAUGGAAAUAAUCAGAUAUUUCCAUUGGCUUUUGCAAUUGUGGAGAAGGAGGAUUCAGAUAAUUGGGGAUGGUUCAUAUCUUGUUUGAGAGCUUAUGUCACAGAACGCGAAGAUUUAUGUGUCAUUUCUGAUUGUCACAUUGGAAUUAAGAAAUCUAUGGAACAAGAUUGGUGGCAACCACCAAGUGGACAUAAUCGAUACUGCAUACGGCACAUUUUGAGCAAUUACAACACAAAAUUCAAGAAUGCAAUAAUGAAGGAAUGUUUGCGAAAGGCUGGUAAAACAUCAUUUGCGAUUACUUAUUUUAAAUUUAAAAUUUUAUUGUAUAUAACCUAUUCAUAUUCAAUAAUAUAUUUUUACCGUAACAGCUAAUCAUAACCAAAGGAGGAAAUUCUAUGACGCGAUGAAUAAAAUUAAGGAAGUAAAUCUCGAGACCUUUGAAUGGGUUGUGAAGAUUCCUUUGGAGAAGUGGACUCGUUCCCACGAUGGUGGGAAGCGAUAUGGAUCAAUGACGACUAACACCAUUGAGUCUGUCAAUGGAAUGUUGAAAGGCUUUCGAGCUUUGCCUAUUACAACAAUGGUUGAAAAAAUAUUUUAUCAAUGUGCGCAUUAUUUUGAUACUCGAAGGAGUCAAUUUCUUUGGCAGCAACAAGAUGGCUAUAGAUUCACCCAGUCAACUGGUGAAGUUAUACAAAAAAAUGCACAGUCAGCAAAUGGCCAUCGUGUUGCUACAUUUAAUCGUGAUGAUUUGGUUGUCGAAGUCCGAAGUGCAAAAACAGGUAAAAAACAAGUUGUUAAGCUUAUAGAAGGGACCUGUAGUUGCAGUAAAUUUCAAGAGAUGCGUAUCCCAUGUUCACAUGCCAUAGCAACAUGCAUGUCGAGGUCUGUUGAUUAUGAGCAAUUCGUUGAUAGCUACUAUACUCUCGAAAGGUCACUUAAAUGUUAUGAAGAUAUGUUCAUUCCAUUAGGUAAUUCAGACUAUUGGCCUGCAGAUUAUGAAUUACCUCUAAUUCCAAACAAGAACCGAAUUAGGAAAAAAGGGUGACCAAAGUCAUCGAGGAUCCAGAAUGAAAUGGAUUGGAGGGUAGCAAAAGUUAAUAUUCCCGGAAAAAAUCAUUGUUCUAUAUGUGGCCAAUCGGGACAUAAUAAAAAGACAUGUACUGUGAAUAAAAUUUUAUGAUUUUCACAUGGCCUAUUUUCUGCAAAUAUCUGUAAUAGUCAUAACACUCUAAUAGACAAAUUUAUAGUCAUAACACUAAUAGACAAAUUUAUAGAUCCAAACAGUUGUUCAUGGUAUGGUCACAAGCGAUAUUUUUCAAAUCAACCAACUAAUAGUUGUUUGGAACAAGGUUUUGCUAACCAUAUAUUUGUCGGAUAUCAUUCCACAAAAAUUUUUGAUUUCGGAAAUGCGACAAUUGCUCCUCAACCUGAUUGGCAACGUUUGUGGGAGAUUCGAUGCGAAUUAGAAGCUUAUUGUGGCUACCAUGAGUUGCCUAUUCCAAAAGCUACAUCGACACACAUGGCUCGCAAUAUAUGUAAAGAUGUUAAGAAACUCAAGGAUCAACUACUUAAGGAAAUUAGGCUUAUGGAAAUGAGGCUGGAUAAAUAUCAUGCUGAACAAAGUGAAUUUCCAAGUGUAUACGACGAUAGUCAGUUAUCAUAUUCCAGCAAUAUCAACGUACACGAUAAUGACUUGUCUGAUUAUAGUGACAAUGAUUGUGGCGAUUUUACAAAAUAUGUGCCACAUUGUCUACCAAAAUGCUGUUGAAAUGUCUACAUGCAUUUAUCGUGUUAUGUAAUAUGUUAGGGUUUAGAAGGUAAGGUUUAUGUCAUUAUCACUUGUACCAAAACAAAGAAUUGCUUUGUAAAUUCACAUUAUUUUUUUAUUUCUGUUAUGUUAUCCUCAUGUCUAGCAAUUAACAUUAUUGACAUAAUUAAUUGAUAGUUGUAAUAACCCUUUGCAGGAAUGGAGUGCUCAAAUGACAAUAGAUUAUUCAUCAACCCAGGACCACGUGAUACUUCAUUGCUAUAUCUCCAAGCAUCUCAUAGGUCCCAAGUCGUGUGGGAUGAUCCACAAGAGGCUGGUGUAAUCACAUGCUGACGAUCCUCUACCGUAUUACACGGUCAUGAUAUUGAUAACAGGCUUAUCCCUUAUCUCCAUGCUAGUGGAUUUUACGGAGCUGUUCGAUUAGGCUUCUUCCACUUAGAUCACCACCUCAUAAUGGCUUUGGUUGAGAGAUGGAGACCAGAAACACAUACUUUUAUGUUACCCCAUGGAGAGUGUACUGUUACACUUCAAGAUAUGGGACAAAUAUCUGGAUUGCCUAUUGAUGGCAAUGCUGUUACUGGGACUACAGGACAGCCUUGGCAAUUGCUAUGUCAAGAUUUGCUUGGGUUGGUCCCGAAUCGUGAAGUUAUGAAGGGAAAUACUGUUGCACUCACCUGGUUGAGAGAUACUGCCAUUUAUGUUUUGUGCAAUAUGAUGCUCUGAGUUUAUAACUGUAUGCUACUUUUUUUAGGUUGUUGCACACCUAUCAAAUGGUAAUUCAUUUGAUUGUCAAAUCUUGGCAUUUGAUUUCCACUAUAAUAUUGCUGCCUUAAAGAUCCAGUCAGAGUCAGAUGCUCCACUCCCAACUGCAUGCUUGGCACAUUUGGAUGAUUCUAUCUCAGUUGAUCCCAAUCAGCUUUACAUUCCUGAAGAAAAACCUUUUCAGCUUCUCCCACAUUCAAAAUCAUUUAAUCUCAUCCCUGGGGAUACAUUAAUUGUGCUUGGACGUUAUUUUAUAAAGCCAUAUGAUGUCAUGGCUACUAUUGGUGAAUUCAGGUAAAGCAAUAUAGAUUAACUCUGCUGUUUAAUUUAAUUAUAUGUCGGACAUAUGCACUUUCUCUAUUAUGAGCUAUUAUAUAGUGUAACUGUAUUUCCAAUAUGACUAUACCUAAUUGCUAUCUUAAUCACUGACAUUAUUCUUUUUUCUUUUGGUCUCAAUCGCUGUGAAUAUGAUUGUAAAGAGCUGUUGAGGGUGAACUGCCAAAUCACAAGAGUAAUUUCCUCUCCCCCAUUUGUCCCUUCCCUCUCUACUUUGCUUUACUUUGUGGGUUUUCCUUUUGCUUAUAUUCAUUUGGUAAGACACAUUGAAGUUUGGUUUUACUAAGGUGAUAGAUCACUUGUCAACAUUUGUUGUGAAACUGGUAUACAUUUUAUUUAUAAUGAAUAAGGUCUUGCGUUUCCGUUGUAACAUAUAUAUUUUCUUUUGUAGUGUGGCAUUGGGGGCCCAUUUAUCAACUAUUAUGGGGAAGUUAUAGGAAUCUGUUUUCAUGAUUUGGGUUUUACUCCUUUUUUGCCAAUUAAUGUAGCUUCCAAAUGGUGGGAGCACUACAAGAGAUGUGGGUAUGCACCAAAUCUUUCUAGCUAUCAUUUUACUGUCAAAUGAAUAAUGCACGUGUCUGUUAUGUUUAAAUCUCUUUUCUUUUUGUUCUUAUCAUUUUAUUAAAGCAAAUAGCAAAAGGUACCUCAUGUCUCGCAUUUGGAGACAUUUCAAAAUAUUUAUAAAAGAGACACAAGGCUUUUUAUAUAAUCAUGGUUUUAGAUAAUGGCUAUCAUGUUAUUUUAUGGUGUUAUUUAUAGUUCUUUGAGGGGUUUGUUACUUAUUACCCUGUUAUUAAAAGGCAUCUUGUGGGUUGCAUAGGGAACAACAAUUACAAGUGUUAAUGACAGUUAUUUGGAAUUAAGCAACGGUAAUGGACAUUACCCCCAAUGAUGCAUUUGGUAAAAAAAAGCAUGCACACUGUUUUCCUGACGUGUAAUAUUUUUUUCUUCCCCUUCUAGUUCCUUUUGAGAUGCACUUGGCAAUUAUUUUAAGUUUUCCUUUUAGAACUUGAGGUAAUUACUGGUCAUGUGUGAUAAGUUCCAUCAAAUCUUAACUCUAAUUUAUUUUUAAUUGAUACACUCAAAUAGUCUAAUGGGGUGCAUAUAUCACCCUUCUUUUAAUUAACUACAGAACCUUAAGUUAACCUUCUUCUUUGUCAUGAUUUCUAAAUCACGAGUGUAAACCUGUCUUAUUUAGGACUUCUUUGGCCUUAAUGCUAUAUCUAAAUGCACUCUGUGGAAUUUUGGAAAAUUUUCCAUGUGUAUGGUCAACACUAAUGAAAGAACUAAAAGUGGGUAGAUGAUAUCCAUUAAUAUUCAAUCUAAACAUUUUAUGAGAUGUUUCUAUGGUAAGAAAUUUGUUAUGUGCCCUUGAAUAGGAUCUCGUCGUAGGUCGAUUAACUAGAAAAUCCUCCUCUUGCCGGACUGACUUUUCCUUGUUAAUAUUUCUACUUUUCUUUGAGUAACCUAUUGUGGAAUAAAUUGAGAACUCGUUUGAAAAAAUUUUCAGAUCUCAUAAACUGAUGAAUAAUAUUUUCUAAAUGUUUUAUUCAAUAAUCUCAAAUGCCUUUUUAUAGUGAAAGCUACAUUUAGAUUGUAUCAACAUUUGAAUUCAAAAUACUUACUAUUUUCUAUUAAAAAUUAAAAAUUUAACUAAAGAUAGCAACUAAAAAAUCAAAUUAGAGAUAACAAGCUAAGAUACUGAUCUUAUUUGUUGCAACCACUUUGAUUAGAAUCUAUUAAAUAGAAGGAUAAUGCGUAUCCAUAACAUUAUCCCCUUCUUUGAGAAAAAGCUGACCUCAAGCUUGUCCUCGGUCAUCUUAUUCAAUAAUAGGAGACCUUGGAUCCUUCAACUCCAUCGAAAAUAAUUUUUUGUAUUGAUUGUUAACAGAAUAUGUCUUAUCAUAGUUAUAGCAGAGACCUUUAGCUUGAUGUUCAACCAUUUUUGUCCUGCUAAGUCUUUUGACAAAUGGAGUUGAGGUGCUUUCGACAUUUGAAGACGCUCCAUUAUUGCCAGAAGAUGGUGUAGACCCUUGAAAUUCAAGACCUGUAAGGUGUCAUCAUUAAAUCAAAUUGUUGUUUCUUCUCGAAUGUUCGUGCAAAAUUCAUUGUUGUAACUAAAUUAGGAGGGGUUUUAGUUCCACCUUAAGCCGAAUAGUCUUCGACAAUCUCGCAGUAAAAAAGUCAACUUGUUGGUUGGUUCAAACAAUUGUUGCUCUUGCCAAUAAGGAUUGAAAUUAGCGUUGAUAAAUCUUCUACUGAUUCAACUUGCUUCAAAUUCACCAACUCCCCCAAGGGAUUGCUAUGAAAAGGACUACUAAAUCGCAAGUUGCAGUUCUCCUUGAACACUUGCCAUGUCAUUUUAGGUUCUUCUUGUUCAAGUCUAUAAUACCAAAAUUGAGUCUCACCCAUAAGAUGGAAGGCAACUAGAUUGACUUUAUCUGUUUAGUUUCGUAUAUCUAGGCACUACAGAAUGAUCAUUAUUUGGUUGGACAAUUUUGUUGACCGCUACUCGUUCCAUCUUGGUUUUGGUUUGCUCCUCUAUUGAAGGUGCGAAUGAGCUCCGAAACUUAAUGAGCCCCGGCUCUGAUACGAAGUGGUUAUAUGCCCUUGAAUAGGAUCUCGUCACAAGUCCAUUAAUUGGAAAAUUCUCCUCUCGCCAAACUGAUCUUCCCUUAUUAAUGUUUCUACUUUGCUUUGAGGAGCCAAUUGUAAAAUAAAUAAUUUGAGAACUCAUUUGAGAGAAUUCUCAUUUCUCAUAAACUGAUGAAUAAUAUGAUCUCAAGUGUUUUUUUAUAGUGAAGGCCAGCAACUAAAAAAUCAAAUUAGAGAUAUCAAGCUAAAUACUGAUCUUAUGUGUUGCAACCACUUUGAUCAGAAUCUAUCAAAUAGAUGGAUAAUGCAUAUCCAUAACAAAUUUACAAUGCAAUAUAAAUGAGAUAGCAUAGAGUUCAUAUUUUUCUAGAGAUUAGUUGGUCUAUCAUUCCCAUUAUCUAUGUUGUGUAUUUUUUUGUGGCAAGUGUUCUGUAAGGUGUAAUAAAUUUCAUCCUAUUCCAUCAUAUAAUUUAUAUUUUAGAUAUUACGCCCUUUUAAAGGCGAAUUUUACUGUCCUCGCUAUAGGGGCAAUUUAUGCAUUCAGCUGAUCAAAAUCUAACCAUUGCUAUUCUAAUGAUUAAUGUUGUGGCCUAGGGAACCCGCCGACCUUGGCUUGGAAUGGAAGUUACUAACCUUUAUGCAGCUGAUGUGAAUAUUUUAGAGAAGAUCAUUCAAAAGUUCCCUAACGUAUUUAAGGGGGUCAUUGUUGAAGAGGUAUUGUCUUGUUUCAUGCAACUUGUUUCUAAAGGAUCGUAGUACUUUGGCUAAUACCGUUAUCCUCAGUCAUAGUUGUAUAAAGUUCGAGGGACACGAGGGCUUUGGGGUACCUUAGGCUUAGGUUCAAGGGACCUUUCAGGAUUGAGGCACAUGUUUAUAUAAAAUUUGCAUAAAAGAAUAGUUAAUUUUCAUUCUAUGCAUAAGCAGCAAAUACUGAAUCCAAGGCUGAUAAAAAAAGAUCAUCAAUGAUUCCAUUAGAUAUAGUGGCAUUAACAAUUUCUAGCUUCUUGCAGGUCAAAAGAAAAAGAAAAAUUCUCUAUCUUCAUCCUUCAAGCUCUAUCAGCGCACCAUAGUUAAUUUAACACUAAAAGAAGAUUACUACUGUAUUGGGCUUAUUUGUUUUGCAAAAAACAUAUAUGAGAAAACAUUUUUUGAUAAAAGCAUUUUGAGAAAAUAACUUAUUUUCCAUUGUUUGGUUGCAAUCCUUGAAUUAGUUGGAUUUUUUCAACUUUUGGAAUGUGCCCAACUAUAAGAUUAUUUAAACCUCUUAGAACCUCAUUGUUUUCUGUGUAAUAUUAAAGUAUGGGACAAAGACAAAAAGAAAAGGAUAAAUUAUG